RNAcentral lists this long non-coding RNA (898 nucleotides) under Gossypium raimondii (Peruvian cotton). RNAcentral's name for it is "long non-coding RNA (GRAI_LNC008008)". The record is from RNAcentral. Lineage: Eukaryota; Viridiplantae; Streptophyta; Magnoliopsida; Malvales; Malvaceae.
GCGCUUUCGUUUUCUUUUCUCCAAUACAAGACCUAUUCUGCCGCAAUCCUCUCUUAUAAGUCACGACUUUUAUUCUCUUUGGUUAUAUAUAAUAUAUUUCUUCUCUAUUUCUUUAUUUUGACCAAAAAUGUUCUAUGCGUUUAUGGAUACAAUGUCUCAAUAAGUUUUACAUCACAGGUGGUCCAAGAAACCGACUUUUGCUUGGUAAGGAAUUUAAUUCACUACGUGAAAAUUUGAUUUAACAAUUAUAAUGAUUUGGGAUUCCGAUUUUACUUUUAAUCUUUUUCAGAUUUGGUGUAUAUUUUCAUAUUUUCAAUUAUAAACUUAUUGAUACAGGGUACAAGAGAAGAAGAUAGGGAAGAGAGAGGAGAAGAUCACGGUGGUGCAAUGGAGGCCAAUUCACAAUAAGAGGUCGAGAGUCGAAACAAUGACAAAAUGACAGGUUGAUCAAGAAAACAACUGCUUAGGAUGACUUUAGGGUGCUAGAGAAUCGAUCCUUUUUUCCAUCGUUUGCUAGGGAAUUUAUAGGAGAUCUCCUCUUAUCUGUUAGUAUGAUGUGCUAAGAUAUACGUUCAGUCUCGCUAAAUGCGUAAAAUAUAAUCAUGGACGUGUAUCAUGGAGAUUUAUUAAUAUAGGAUUCUUUUACCUAAACAGACUCCUUAUUGUCUUGAAUGUGCAUUUUCACUAGGAGUUAAAUAGACUCCCACAUGAUGAAAAAAAAAGUAAAAGGUCUCGAGAAGAAAAUGAUCCUAUUUGACCACUGUACAUUGCUAGUAUCAGGAAAUGAAAUAAUCGCGAAUCUUGAGUAACUGGCCAAGCCGCCAAAGUCGCUAAAGUGGUGAUAAAUCCUGUUAGUAAAAUGAGCCCUACAGAAAGUCCAUCUAUUCCCAAUCUCCAG